This 301-nucleotide ribosomal RNA is filed under the name uncultured bacterium. RNAcentral describes it as "partial 16S ribosomal RNA". It matches the Rfam family "Bacterial small subunit ribosomal RNA", at positions 509 to 808 of the family's 1533-position model. The record is from RNAcentral.
CAGCCGCCGCGGGAAUACGAAGGGGGCUAGCGUUGCUCGGAAUCACUGGGCGUAAAGGGUGCGUAGGCGGGUCUUUAAGUCAGGGGUGAAAUCCUGGAGCUCAACUCCAGAACUGCCUCUGAUACUGAAGAUCUUGAGUUCGGGAGAGGUGAGUGGAACUGCGAGUGUAGAGGUGAAAUUCGUAGAUAUUCGCGAGAACACCAGUGGCGAAGGCGGCUCACUGGCCCGAUACUGACGCUGAGGCACGAAAGCGUGGGAGCAAACAGGAUUAGAUACCCCAGUAGUCCCUGUCUCUUAUACC